AGCAGCCGCGGUAAUUCCAGCUCCAAUAGCGUAUAUUAAAGUUGUUGUGGUUAAAAAGCUCGUAGUUGAACCUUGGGCCUGGCUGGCCGGUCCGCCUCACCGCGUGUACUGGUCCGGCCGGGCCUUUCCCUCUGUGGAACCCCCAUGCCCUUCACUGGGUGUGGCGGGGAAACAGGACUUUUACUGUGAAAAAAAUUAGAGUGCUCCAGGCAGGCCUAUGCUCGAAUACAUUAGCAUGGAAUAAUAGAAUAGGACGUGUGGUUCUAUUUUGUUGGUUUCUAGGACCGCCGUAAUGAUUAAUAGGGACAGUCGGGGGCAUCAGUAUUCAAUUGUCAGAGGUGAAAUUCUUGGAUUUAUUGAAGACUAACUACUGCGAAAGCAUUUGCCAAGGAUGUUUUCAUUAAUCAGGAACGAAAGUUAGGGGAUCGAAGACGAUCAGAUACCGUCGUAGUCUUAACCAUAAACUAUGCCGACUAGGGAUCGGACGGUGUUAUUUUUUGACCCGUUUCGGCA
RNAcentral lists this small RNA (513 nucleotides) under uncultured Paraglomus. RNAcentral's name for it is "SSU rRNA". It matches the Rfam family "Eukaryotic small subunit ribosomal RNA", at positions 569 to 1085 of the family's 1831-position model. Lineage: Eukaryota; Fungi; Glomeromycota; Glomeromycetes; Paraglomerales; Paraglomeraceae. The record is from RNAcentral.